UUUUCUCAUCUCCAUUCCUUUGAAGUCCAAUGAUGGCACUCCUUCCUGCGUUCAGUUUCUUUUUGUCUUCAUAUCUCUCCGGUCAAUCCAAACUGUCUCCUUUGCAAUUUGGCUUCAGUUCUUCCUUGAGUUGUUGUUCCCUUUCGUCUCCUCCCUAAUCUGCAGCUCCGGCGAGAUACUGAAUGGCUUUGCCCACCCUCUCGGGCGGCUCCCUCGUCGUGGCUCCCUGUUUCAUCAAACUGUCGCAAUUUCCAUGUCGUCGAGGCUCGGUGACGAUGAGUUCGACUACAUGACUGUUGGGAUCUUGCCGGUGAGUUCCCAAAACCCAAGCGCAUGCAUGCUCCUCCAACCCAAGGAACUUACUCUUGAGCUUUUCGGAUCUACAAGACUCACACUAUUUUUAUAGGAGGUGUGGGUGAGCCUAUGUUGAUCGGGAGACUCAGAUGAAAUGCAGAGUUCUGCAAAGCAAAAAACUACUUAUCUCUGAAGAGAUGUUGCUGCCGGGAAAUCCAGCCUCCGAUUUAUGUAGGCCAAGUCAGAAUCUUCUCCUCUUUGUUGCGAUUUUCACUCUUUGAAUUUCAACUUUUUUUAUAUGAUCCAAUCUUCAUAUACUGUUAGAAUCAUGGUUAGCUGUAGCAUACUGACAUCCGUGGUUUGUUUUUGAAGGUCACUUAGGCAAGGCCUUGAAGGUUAGCAUCAUUACACAAAUUUCCAGAUUCAAAGUGCAUAACUGAAGAGAAACUCUGUUUAGGUAGGCUGUCUUUGGAAUUUAUGUCUUCUUGAACUUGCACUUUGACAAGCUUACUGAUAUGGAAUUGUCAUAUAUACUUCUCCAUACAACCAUAUUUCAUAUGAUGAUGGUGGUGUAGCACUAGCCAUGUUGUGUUUGUGGAUCAGAUUAAGACAUUGACUAUAUAUGAGAGUUUGUGUUUGUAAUGGAAGUUUUGUACCUUGUAUUCCUCUCCAAUAAGUUAUUCCAGUGUCGCCAUAAUCCAAGUGUUGCC
RNAcentral lists this long non-coding RNA (1004 nucleotides) under Linum usitatissimum (flax). RNAcentral describes it as "long non-coding RNA (LUSI_LNC004249)". Lineage: Eukaryota; Viridiplantae; Streptophyta; Magnoliopsida; Malpighiales; Linaceae. The record is from RNAcentral.